This 312-nucleotide long non-coding RNA is filed under the name Hordeum vulgare. Its description in RNAcentral is "long non-coding RNA (HVUL_LNC011949)". Lineage: Eukaryota; Viridiplantae; Streptophyta; Magnoliopsida; Poales; Poaceae. The record is from RNAcentral.
UUCAAACAUGAAAUUCUAGUUCUUUGUUUCAAACAUCGAAAUGUUGUUUACCUUGUCCUUCUAUGCUUAAAUGGUAAAAAUGUCGCAUUUAUAGGAUUGUACACCUGAUCUGAUCAGAGUAGGAUUUACUCGCUGCUCACAGUUACUACUUGUAUUCACUGAUUUCUAUGCCUCAUUUUGCUUGUUUUACUCUCAUUUAUACAGACAAACUGCCUACAAGUUAGUGUGUUGUUAGAUUUUAUUUUAUUUUAUUCUUAACCAUUUUGUCUGAUAACUUGCAGAUGUUGGCCUUCAUUCAUGUUUCGUCGCAAG